UAACAGAAGAGCAAGUCUCGUUGUGCAG
RNAcentral lists this small RNA (28 nucleotides) under Bombyx mori (domestic silkworm). RNAcentral's name for it is "ovarian small RNA-18590". Lineage: Eukaryota; Metazoa; Arthropoda; Insecta; Lepidoptera; Bombycidae. The record is from RNAcentral.